UGCAGUGUAACUUAACGGCAAAGUCCUCGGCUCAUAACCGAGUAUAUGCGGGUUCAACUCCCGCCACUGCUACCA
RNAcentral lists this transfer RNA (75 nucleotides) under Nostoc piscinale CENA21. RNAcentral's name for it is "tRNA-Met". It matches the Rfam family "tRNA". From Rfam's summary of the family: Transfer RNA (tRNA) molecules are approximately 80 nucleotides in length. Their secondary structure includes four short double-helical elements and three loops (D, anti-codon, and T loops). Further hydrogen bonds mediate the characteristic L-shaped molecular structure. tRNAs have two regions of fundamental functional importance: the anti-codon, which is responsible for specific mRNA codon recognition, and the 3' end, to which the tRNAs corresponding amino acid is attached (by aminoacyl-tRNA synthetases). tRNAs cope with the degeneracy of the genetic code in two manners: having more than one tRNA (with a specific anti-codon) for a particular amino acid; and 'wobble' base-pairing, i.e. permitting non-standard base-pairing at the 3rd anti-codon position. Lineage: Bacteria; Bacillati; Cyanobacteriota; Cyanophyceae; Nostocales; Nostocaceae. The record is from RNAcentral. RNAcentral also lists the same sequence under 1 other name.